AAUGAACGCUGGCGGCAGGCCUAACACAUGCAAGUCGAGCGCGCACACCGGGGUAAGCGGCGGAUGGGGGUGUCAAGUGUCGGAAGGUGCACUUUUAUAUGGAAUAGCACUGGGACAUUGAGAGUAACGGAGUAAAAGCUCUUCGAGGGCAAGAUAUAUCGGACAAGGUAAGGCACAGGUUGGAUUAGAUAGUUGGUGGGGUAAUGGCCUACUAAGCAGAAGAUCCAUAGCUGGUUAAAGUGGGUGAUCAGCCACCUUGGGACUGAGACACGGCCCAGACUCCUACGGGAGGACGCAGUCGGGAAUCUUACGCAAUGGGGGAAAGGCUGAUCUAGGAAAACCGCGUGAGUGAUGAAGGACCUCGGCUUGUAAAGCUAUGUUGUUCGGAAAGAAAAAAAGCACUUUUAGCUAGGAAGGUAAUGACGGUACCAACAGAAAAAGCCCCGGCUAACUCCGUG
RNAcentral lists this ribosomal RNA (458 nucleotides) under uncultured bacterium. RNAcentral describes it as "partial 16S ribosomal RNA". It matches the Rfam family "Bacterial small subunit ribosomal RNA", at positions 30 to 507 of the family's 1533-position model. The record is from RNAcentral.